GGGUUGUGAGGUUAAGCGACUAAGCGUACACGGUGGAUGCCCUGGCAGUCAGAGGCGAUGAAGGACGUGCUAAUCUGCGAAAAGCGUCGGUAAGGUGAUAUGAACCGUUAUAACCGGCGAUGUCCGAAUGGGGAAACCCAGUGUGAUUCGUCACACUAUCGUUAACUGAAUACAUAGGUUAACGAGGCGAACCGGGGGAACUGAAACAUCUAAGUACCCCGAGGAAAAGAAAUCAACCGAGAUUCCCCCAGUAGCGGCGAGCGAACGGGGAGCAGCCCAGAGUCUGAAUCAGCUUGUGUGUUAGUGGAACGGUCUGGAAAGUCCGACGGUACAGGGUGAUAGUCCCGUACACCAAAAUGCACAGGUUGUGAACUCGAAGAGUAGGGCGGGACACGUGGUAUCCUGUCUGAAUAUGGGGGGACCAUCCUCCAAGGCUAAAUACUCCUGACUGACCGAUAGUGAACCAGUACCGUGAGGGAAAGGCGAAAAGAACCCCGGCGAGGGGAGUGAAAAAGAACCUGAAACCGUGUACGUACAAGCAGUGGGAGCACCUUCGGGUGUGACUGCGUACCUUUUGUAUAAUGGGUCAGCGACUUAUAUUCUGUAGCAAGGUUAACCGUAUAGGGGAGCCGCAGGGAAACCGAGUCUUAACUGGGCGUUAAGUUGCAGGGUAUAGACCCGAAACCCGGUGAUCUAGCCAUGGGCAGGUUGAAGGUUGGGUAACACUAACUGGAGGACCGAACCGACUAAUGUUGAAAAAUUAGCGGAUGACUUGUGGCUGGGGGUGAAAGGCCAAUCAAACCGGGAGAUAGCUGGUUCUCCCCGAAAGCUAUUUAGGUAGCGCCUCGUGAAUUCAUCUUCGGGGGUAGAGCACUGUUUCGGCUAGGGGGUCAUCCCGACUUACCAACCCGAUGCAAACUACGAAUACCGAAGAAUGUUAUCACGGGAGACACACGGCGGGUGCUAACGUCCGUCGUGAAGAGGGAAACAACCCAGACCGCCAGCUAAGGUCCCAAAGUCAUGGUUAAGUGGGAAACGAUGUGGGAAGGCACAGACAGCCAGGAUGUUGGCUUAGAAGCAGCCAUCAUUUAAAGAAAGCGUAAUAGCUCACUGGUCGAGUCGGCCUGCGCGGAAGAUGUAACGGGGCUAAACCAUGCACCGAAGCUGCGGCAGCGACACUAUGUGUUGUUGGGUAGGGGAGCGUUCUGUAAGCCUGCGAAGGUGUGCUGUGAGGCAUGCUGGAGGUAUCAGAAGUGCGAAUGCUGACAUAAGUAACGAUAAAGCGGGUGAAAAGCCCGCUCGCCGGAAGACCAAGGGUUCCUGUCCAACGUUAAUCGGGGCAGGGUGAGUCGACCCCUAAGGCGAGGCCGAAAGGCGUAGUCGAUGGGAAACAGGUUAAUAUUCCUGUACUUGGUGUUACUGCGAAGGGGGGACGGAGAAGGCUAUGUUAGCCGGGCGACGGUUGUCCCGGUUUAAGCAUGUAGGCUGAUUGUCCAGGCAAAUCCGGAUAAUCAAGGCUGAGGUGUGAUGACGAGGCACUACGGUGCUGAAGUAACAAAUGCCCUGCUUCCAGGAAAAGCCUCUAAGCAUCAGGUAACAUCAAAUCGUACCCCAAACCGACACAGGUGGUCAGGUAGAGAAUACCAAGGCGCUUGAGAGAACUCGGGUGAAGGAACUAGGCAAAAUGGUGCCGUAACUUCGGGAGAAGGCACGCUGGUGUGUAGGUGAAGUCCCUGCGGAUGGAGCUGAGACCAGUCGAAGAUACCAGCUGGCUGCAACUGUUUAUUAAAAACACAGCACUGUGCAAACACGAAAGUGGACGUAUACGGUGUGACGCCUGCCCGGUGCCGGAAGGUUAAUUGAUGGGGUUAUCCGUAAGGAGAAGCUCUUGAUCGAAGCCCCGGUAAACGGCGGCCGUAACUAUAACGGUCCUAAGGUAGCGAAAUUCCUUGUCGGGUAAGUUCCGACCUGCACGAAUGGCGUAAUGAUGGCCAGGCUGUCUCCACCCGAGACUCAGUGAAAUUGAACUCGCUGUGAAGAUGCAGUGUACCCGCGGCAAGACGGAAAGACCCCGUGAACCUUUACUAUAGCUUGACACUGAACAUUGAGCCUUGAUGUGUAGGAUAGGUGGGAGGCUUUGAAGCGUGGACGCCAGUCUGCGUGGAGCCAACCUUGAAAUACCACCCUUUAAUGUUUGAUGUUCUAACGUUGGCCCCUGACCGGGGUUGCGGACAGUGUCUGGUGGGUAGUUUGACUGGGGCGGUCUCCUCCCAAAGCGUAACGGAGGAGCACGAAGGUUAGCUAAUCCUGGUCGGACAUCAGGAGGUUAGUGCAAUGGCAUAAGCUAGCUUGACUGCGAGCGUGACGGCGCGAGCAGGUGCGAAAGCAGGUCAUAGUGAUCCGGUGGUUCUGAAUGGAAGGGCCAUCGCUCAACGGAUAAAAGGUACUCCGGGGAUAACAGGCUGAUACCGCCCAAGAGUUCAUAUCGACGGCGGUGUUUGGCACCUCGAUGUCGGCUCAUCACAUCCUGGGGCUGAAGUAGGUCCCAAGGGUAUGGCUGUUCGCCAUUUAAAGUGGUACGCGAGCUGGGUUUAGAACGUCGUGAGACAGUUCGGUCCCUAUCUGCCGUGGGCGCUGGAGAAUUGAGGGGGGCUGCUCCUAGUACGAGAGGACCGGAGUGGACGCAUCACUGGUGUUCGGGUUGUCAUGCCAAUGGCACUGCCCGGUAGCUAAAUGCGGAAGAGAUAAGUGCUGAAAGCAUCUAAGCACGAAACUUGCCCCGAGAUGAGUUCUCCCUGAGACUUUAAGUCUCCUGAAGGAACGUUGAAGACGACGACGUUGAUAGGCCGGGUGUGUAAGCGCAGCGAUGCGUUGAGCUAACCGGUACUAAUGAACCGUGAGGCUUAACCUUACAACGCCGAAG
This 2923-nucleotide ribosomal RNA is filed under the name Klebsiella pneumoniae. RNAcentral's name for it is "bacterial LSU rRNA". It matches the Rfam family "Bacterial large subunit ribosomal RNA". Lineage: Bacteria; Pseudomonadati; Pseudomonadota; Gammaproteobacteria; Enterobacterales; Enterobacteriaceae. The record is from RNAcentral.